Molecule: long non-coding RNA, 910 nt
Organism: Drosophila obscura
Lineage: Eukaryota; Metazoa; Arthropoda; Insecta; Diptera; Drosophilidae
Exons: 3
Source: RefSeq, a predicted model, not a curated record
UGAACUUGUUGUUGCGGAUGUUGAAAGCACUUUUCUCCACGAGUAUUAAUUAAUGAUAAAUAAAGUGAGCCUCGUUAAAAUCACAAAAUAUACUGCCAGCAUAUUUCCAUAUUUAAAUGAACAGAGAAACUAUUAAAAGUAUUAGAAAAUCAUUUCACAAUUAUACAAUUCUUAUAGUUUCACUUAGUGGCUGAAGAUUGAUUCCGUAACAAUCCGUAACAUCUUUUAUGCUCCAUCUGUCGCCGAAAAAAAAAACAGAGCAUUCGAUGUUCGUUGUUUGCUUUGAGUUUGUGUUCGACAUGCGAUUGGCCAAUUUCGUGAUGGAUGACAUAUCAUUAAAGGUUGAAUAAUCCCAUUUGGAUAUGAUUUACAUAUUGAUCAAGCGGGGCUCUGUGGUUUCUUUUGGAUGUGUGGCCGAAUCUAGAUUACAGUCAAACCAAAAUUUCACUUUCGAUGCCGUAAAUAUUCACAGAUAUAUAUAUACGUAUAUUCGCGUCGCAUGCUGGGAUCGGGUGAAAGGCAUCGAAUACACGAAUAUAUGUAGAUAGGUUGCGGGAACCCCAUUCGAUCUCUGACCACAUCAGGGCGGCAGGCACUGAACACACACGUCUGCACGUCUGAACGAACGAACUGAAGACGCAGCUUAAUCACCUUUUACAAUGUAUUUGGGCGAUGGAUACUCGGGUGUAUCUCUUCCGCGUUCACAAAUCUUAGUCGAAGAUGCUGCCGACUCGGACACCGCUCAGGUUAUAAGCGGAGCUCGAUGAUGGGGCUUAGGUUUUAUAUAGUUGGAGGGGGGGAAACCCCUCCAAUCCCAUACUUGGCUUGGACCAAAACCAGAUGUCUUUACAAACUAUGAAAACUUUUCGAACAUGAACAAUUAACAUGAUGUAAAGGUGUAUCUGGUGGU